GUGGAUUAGAUACCCUGGUAGUCCACACUGUAAACGAUGAAUGCUAGGUGUAGGAGGUAUCGACCCCUUCUGUGCCGCAGUUAACACAAUAAGCAUUCCGCCUGGGGAGUACGGCCGCAAGGUUGAAACUCAAAGGAAUUGACGGGGGCCCGCACAAGCAGCGGAGCAUGUGGUUUAAUUCGACGCAACGCGAAGAACCUUACCAGGUCUUGACAUCCAGUAAAACUUGUAGAGAUACAUCGUGUCUUCGGACAUACUGAGACAGGUGGUGCACGGUUGUCGACAGCU
RNAcentral lists this ribosomal RNA (288 nucleotides) under uncultured bacterium. RNAcentral describes it as "partial 16S ribosomal RNA". It matches the Rfam family "Bacterial small subunit ribosomal RNA", at positions 773 to 1060 of the family's 1533-position model. The record is from RNAcentral.